This 859-nucleotide unclassified non-coding RNA is filed under the name Leishmania donovani. Its description in RNAcentral is "gene:unknown". The record is from RNAcentral. Lineage: Eukaryota; Euglenozoa; Kinetoplastea; Trypanosomatida; Trypanosomatidae.
UGAGACACCUCACGCGCACACAAUGAUAAAGGCGGUAGCGAUAUGUCGUCUGUUGCGGAGCAGGUGGAGGCUGCGUGGCCCCACAGGCAUUGCAAACCCUGACAAGGCGAUUGCAUGGGGAUCAAUCAGCGCACGCGGUAGCGGCAGCCAGUAUGACCAGGGUAUCGCUCCCCACGUGGAAGGGCAGGCUCGCUCAAUCAAUCGAGCCGCACCUAGAGGGCUUAUCCGGGGCUUUGCACACGAGGAGCAAGUCCCACCUCUGCCCAGCAGCUCGAAAAAAUGACCGGGUUUCCCACCACAACGAAUGGGAAGAAAAAGUAUGCGCUUACAAGACACAUCACACUCACCGCUGAACGGGCAGAAGGGGUGCGAGAAAAAAAAAGCGGAGAGUGCGUGGCAGUCGGUGUUACACGCACGAGAGUCGUUUCGCUAGGCGACCUCUAAGGCGCAAGCGCGCUCAUGUGUGAGUGCGCCUUUGCUUCUCUCUGGGACUCGGUGUCUGCCGGAUCCCAGAUGGUUCGGCGCGCUUUAUUGUCUGCGCUUGGGGAGGUACGCAUGCUUGCGUGACCCGGUGAGACCCUCGGUCGAAGUUGCGCGUCGUGUACCUAGACGCGCCGGCGACCAACAGCCUGCCUGUGAAGCAUGCUUUUCUUUUUCUGGCUGGGGCUCAGCGCGCGGGCUAUACAGCGUUGCAACGCCAUUGCAAGUGGUGCGUUGCGCCGCUGCCAAACAGCUCGUCUCGAUAUCUCGGAUACCAUGGCAUCACCGCCGCCCCUCUUUCGCACUUCUCUGGCUCAUCUCUCAUCUAUCCCGCGAUAUUUCGUUUCUUCUCACCAACACCGCCGUGACGCUCACGCAG